AAGACCUUACUUCAUAGGAUCAUUUCUAUAGUAAGUUCUUCACGAGACCUUCACAACAUGUGAGAUUGUACCAACCACGUUGAUGAUAGUGACGGACGGU
Molecule: small nucleolar RNA, 100 nt
Filed under: Papilio xuthus (Asian swallowtail)
Lineage: Eukaryota; Metazoa; Arthropoda; Insecta; Lepidoptera; Papilionidae
Description: Small nucleolar RNA U3
Rfam family: Small nucleolar RNA U3
About the family: Small nucleolar RNAs (snoRNAs) are involved in the processing and modification of rRNA in the nucleolus.
Source: Rfam by way of RNAcentral